ACGAACAACGGGGUCCGCCCCUUGUCCACAAACACACCCCUGUGCACGUUGAAGGCCCGGCUCGUUGAGUGGGUGGGCGACCGCCCAGGAUUCGUAGCCUCGCUUUCUUACACAAACUUCAGAAUGUACAUCAGAAUGUCUUGCGCGUGUAACGCAUCGUAAUA
Molecule: unclassified non-coding RNA, 164 nt
Filed under: uncultured fungus
Lineage: Eukaryota; Fungi
Description: sequence contains ITS1, 5.8S rRNA gene
Source: RNAcentral